GACGAACGCUGGCGGCGUGCUUAACACAUGCAAGUCGAACGGAAAGGCCCUGCUUUUGUGGGGUGCUCGAGUGGCGAACGGGUGAGUAACACGUGAGUAACCUGCCCUUGACUUUGGGAUAACUUCAGGAAACUGGGGCUAAUACCGGAUAGGAGCUCCUGCUGCAUGGUGGGGGUUGGAAAGUUUCGGCGGUUGGGGAUGGACUCGCGGCUUAUCAGCUUGUUGGUGGGGUAGUGGCUUACCAAGGCUUUGACGGGUAGCCGGCCUGAGAGGGUGACCGGCCACAUUGGGACUGAGAUACGGCCCAGACUCCUACGGGAGGCAGCAGUGGGGAAUAUUGCACAAUGGGCGGAAGCCUGAUGCAGCAACGCCGCGUGCGGGAUGACGGCCUUCAGGUUGUAAACCGCUUUCGCCUGUGACGAAGCGUGAGUGACGGUAAUGGGUAAAGAAGCACCGGCUAACUACGUG
RNAcentral lists this ribosomal RNA (468 nucleotides) under uncultured bacterium. RNAcentral's name for it is "partial 16S ribosomal RNA". It matches the Rfam family "Bacterial small subunit ribosomal RNA", at positions 28 to 507 of the family's 1533-position model. The record is from RNAcentral.